Molecule: long non-coding RNA, 511 nt
Organism: Tribolium madens (black flour beetle)
Lineage: Eukaryota; Metazoa; Arthropoda; Insecta; Coleoptera; Tenebrionidae
Exons: 3
Source: RefSeq, a predicted model, not a curated record
UUUCAACUUUUCCCAGAUGAAAUGCUACAAAAUAUUUAUGAAAAGACAUAAACUAUUACCAAGACUGGUUUCUGGUUUGAGAACUUUGGUUUGGUGUGAUAAUGCUUAAUUUUUUUCCAGAUUUGAAAGACAAACCGGGAGGUAUUAGUGGUCCGGGAAAGGUCGGAAUAUUCGAGAUGGGACGGCUGAUAGGACCAGAGGAAUGCCAUUUUUUUAUCUCCAAUAAUACGAGAAUCGUGUUAAAGUGUACGGGUUCGAGGAACAUCUCAACUAUACGAGACCAGAACUACCAGGAGCGGCCAAAAACUCAAAAUCAAAACUAACAUUCUCUCCACCGUUUCAAUGAACAAAACUGGAAAAAUCAAAUUUUUGAAAUCCUGACAUUGGCGUAUUUUUUAUUGUAUGACAAUAUGUCACUGGUAUGUAACAUCCGUCAGGGCUGUUGGACCAGCCUAUUAACACCCAGUAUGUAGUAUUUUCAGGCUGGACGAAGCUCUUUUACCACCCAUGA